GGCUACAGGACUAACGCUGGCCGGUGCGCCUAACACAUGCAAGUCGUACGGGCUCCUUCGGGAGCGUAGUGGCAGACGGGUGAGUAACGCGUAGGUAAUGUACCUCUUCGCUGGGGAUACCUACCUGAAAAGGUGGCUAAAACCGAAUGAGCUUUUCAAGCGGCAUCGCUUGAUUUGCAAACCUCCGGGGCGAAGAGAUCAGCUUGCGUACUAUCAGCUAGUAGGUGAGGUAAUGGCUUACCUAGGCUUCGACGGUUAGCCGGUCUGAGAGGAUGAUCGGCCACAUUGGAACUGAAACACGGUCCAGACUCCUACGGGAGGCAGCAGUGAGGAAUCUUGCGCAAUGGGCGAAGCCUGACGCAGCGACACCGCGUGAGGGAUGAAGGUCUUCGGAUUGUAAACCUUUGUCAGUGGGGACGAGAACGGACGGUACCCGCUGAGGAAGCAUCGGCUUACUACGUGCCAGCCGCCGC
This 473-nucleotide ribosomal RNA is filed under the name uncultured bacterium. RNAcentral describes it as "bacterial SSU rRNA". It matches the Rfam family "Bacterial small subunit ribosomal RNA", at positions 26 to 518 of the family's 1533-position model. The record is from RNAcentral.